This 2752-nucleotide long non-coding RNA is filed under the name Anas platyrhynchos platyrhynchos (common mallard). Its description in RNAcentral is "lncRNA (ENSAPLG00000023831.1)". Lineage: Eukaryota; Metazoa; Chordata; Aves; Anseriformes; Anatidae. The record is from RNAcentral.
AUGAUAUCUACCUGCUUACAUAACGCCGGCACUCCCUUCCUGCCCUCACCUCUGCGUGAAUCCCAAACAUCAGCGAGAGAAUACAGUUCUGUUACACAGGGCAUGUGGGAUAGGAGAGGUGAUGGCCAUAGCAUGGAUGGAGUGGAAGAGAUGGGAACAGGCCUUGCUUCUCAUCAUCCCCUGUCCUGGCGCUUGCAAAGCAAUGCCCAUGGCAAGCAGAGCCACUGCCAGGGUUCCAGUCCCCAGCCCUGGCCAGGUUUCUUCAAGCACACGUCGAGUUUGUCAUCAGGCUUCAUGCAGGAUCGGCCUUUGUCGCAGCUAAUGGCUGGGAAUGGCUGUGUUGCUACCAAGUAAUGGAAGAGGGGUCAGGGGGCAGAAAUGCUCAGAAAGAUAGAAAUGAAGCAGGAAUUUCGAUUCAGAGCUAAUGGAUGGGGUUUGGAGGCUUCUAUUAGCAGAAAUUAUCACGGUAUUAAUGUAUUUCAGGCAGCAUUUUUUACAGUUGAAUACAGUGUUAUUUUCUGAGUUAUCCAUUCCCUGACAAGUGGUUAUAAUCAAAACUGUCUGUGAGCACUAUUAUCAGAAACUUACUAUUAUGUGCUGUAGGGAAAAAUAUCAGGGAAUGAUGCAGUGCCAGAAAGCUAUUAUAUGUUUUUAAGACCUACUGCAACACCAAGUAUUUAUUUAUGUAUUACUUCUACUUCCUGUAGAAGAAAAUAAUUUGAACUUAAUUUUCUUGUCUUACCCAACUGCUUUGGAAAAUGUACCUCCUGAAGUCAGUCCAUAAUUAUGAUUAACAAUGCGGGCUGGAUCCUCAGUUACUGUAAAUUAGCGUUCCCUCCUUCAUUGAGAUGGAGCAAUGCCAAUUCAUUGCAACAGAGAAAGCUUCCAGUUACUUUAGUACGUCACUUUUCAUCUUUAAGGGUAUCAACAAACCUUCUUUAAUACAGUAUUGUACAGAACUUACUCUGUUUGGCCAGAACAAACUUUAAAGAGGACUAAAUCUAGCAUCACGUUUCUAAAAGUCUUUAAAAUUCUCUUGUACGCAAAAUUAAUCCUUUCAAUAUAUUCUGUUGUUUAAUUAAAUCAACAAAACUGCAAUUGCUCUGUCAUGUGGUCUGGCUUUGUAGGCCACCUUUAUUUUCUUCUUAAAUUUCAGGGUAGCCAUACACUUAAAACUAUUACUGUAAUUCUAGCCUGGCUCUUACUGCUUUUUGUGGAGGAAGGAACUUCAAUGAGACAACAUAGAAAGGAAGUAAUUACCUAAAAAUGUUUAUAUCUGUAUAGCUGACUAUGAAAUAUAAAGAAAAAAAUCAUAAAUCAUAGGGAUUCUGAGGUUAAGGGUAUGAGUAAGCAAUAACAAAUUUGGCACUUUUUGAUUAAUAAGUCCUCCAGAAGGCUAAAGAUUAAUCAGAUUAUUUUGAGUAACACAGUAAAAAACAUAUAUUUUUAAAAGCCUUCUUUUGUGCUGCUCUGCCAUGUUCUCUAUCCAGUUGGCACAAUGAAAAUGGCAGUCCCAGGCUAAGACUAUUGUACAAAACUUCAGAAGUCCUGAGGAUACACUGAUGGGCAGUUCACAUCUGAAAAUGGAUAGAAUCCCUGCAACUUGUUCCUUCCUUUCUCAGCAUCCCUCUUUUUCAUCUUGUGCCUGGAAUUGAACAAACCAAAUCCAAAGAGGUUUUUGGAACAUUCCUAAAUCAGGGAUACUGUGAAGACAAAUGGUAAAUGUCUGUUACCCCAGCUGCUAAGUUAAUUACUGUAAUGGGAAACAUCUUGAGAGAAGCAUUGCAUAUGGUUAUUAGCAAUUAACCCACCACUCCAAAAAUCACAAUUCCUGCUAAUAACAGAACACGGCGCAGCCUUUCUAAUUACAAUCUCUGCACGAGAAUUUCUUUCCAUCAGAAGGGAAUGUUAAAUCCUCUAACUAGCUACGAUUUAAAAAGACUUGGAGAUAUGGAGAAUUAGACAGAAAAAUGAAAAUGGGGACGGGUGGUGUGUCACUGACUCAGAGUUGUAGACAUGCUCAUUCAUAUGUGGAGACACACAGCAACUUUCACAACAUGUUGUGGGAAGACAAAAUCAUCAAUGACUGUUCAUGGGGAGGGAAAUAUGCUUUAAAAUGAAGAGGAUAGCAUGAGACUUCGUGAGAGAUGCCAACUUUUCUACAGAAUUUGUGAUCUCGGUGCUGUAAACAAUAUGCUGAGUUUGAUAGUGCAUAGGAAAGGACCACACUGGAAACAGUAAGAACUUUCUGAUCAAUGAAAGAGGAGAACAAUGCAAACUACGUAUUUUCCAUCCUACAGAAAGUCCGUCAGUACUACAUGGAGGGCAUGAGGUGUGCCUUUUCUGACAGUCAGUAUUCUGUGCAAUUGGCUUAGAUUAUAGCUCACCUGCACAAAGUCACCAAGGGGAAUCGACACUUUAGCUGCUCAGUUCAAAGGCUGGUUUAGCAGAGCAAGAUGGGAUUUAAUUUAUUCCUUUCACCAGGCAGGAAGAGAACUCUUUUGUCAACAUGUUCAGUGCUCAGUUUGGUGAUGGGCACGAUACAGUUUGUAGGUAUCAAGAUCAAAGAUACACAAUUGUAUGGCGAAUAAGUUUCAUGACAGUAACCGUGUCUGGUUGGUCACGGCAGGGACGUGUAAUAUAAAGGAGUCACUAAUGCUGUAUCCACUACCAUUUUUUUCCUGACAUUUCCCGCUGCUACCACUGUAAGAACUAGAAUAAAUGAGUCUGCUUUUACCUCUGUAUUGUCUGU